AUUGAACGCUGGCGGCAGGCCUAACACAUGCAAGUCGAGCGAGCGGCGGACGGGUGAGUAAUGUCUGGGGAUCUGCCCGAUAGAGGGGGAUAACUACUGGAAACUGUGGCUAAUACCUCCUACUAUCGGAUGACCCCAUAUGGGAUUAGCUAGUAGGUGGGGUAAAGGCUCACCUAGGCGACGAUCUCUAGCUGGUCUGAGAGGAUGAGCAGCCACACUGGAACUGAGACACGGCCCAGACUCCGACGGGAGGCAGCAGUGGGGAAUAUUGAAAAAUGGGCGCAAGCCUGAUGCAGCCAUGCCGCGUGUAUGAAGAAGGCCUUAGGGUUGUAAAGUACUUUCAGCGGGGAGGCGUUACCCGCAGAAGAAGCACAGGCUAACUCCGUGCCAGCAGCCGCGGUAAUAC
RNAcentral lists this ribosomal RNA (406 nucleotides) under uncultured bacterium. Its description in RNAcentral is "partial 16S ribosomal RNA". It matches the Rfam family "Bacterial small subunit ribosomal RNA", at positions 30 to 526 of the family's 1533-position model. The record is from RNAcentral.